CCUACGGGUGGCAGCAGUGGGGAAUAUUGGACAAUGGGCGAAAGCCUGAUCCAGCCAUGCCGCGUGUGUGAAGAAGGCCUUCGGGUUGUAAAGCACUUUCAGUGGGGAAGAAAGCCUUGGGGCUAAUACCCUCGAGGAAGGACAUCACCCACAGAAGAAGCACCGGCUAACUCCGUGCCAGCAGCCGCGGUAAUACGGAGGGUGCGAGCGUUAAUCGGAAUUACUGGGCGUAAAGCGCGCGUAGGCGGUCUGAUAAGCCGGUUGUGAAAGCCCCGGGCUCAACCUGGGAACGGCAUCCGGAACUGUCAGGCUAGAGUGCGGGAGAGGAAGGUAGAAUGACCGGUGUAGCGGUGAAAUGCGUAGAGAUCGGGAGGAAUACCAGUGGCGAAGGCGGUCUUCUGGACUGACACUGACGCUGAGGUGCGAAAGCGUGGGUAGCAAACAGGAUUAGAUACCCUGGUAGUC
RNAcentral lists this ribosomal RNA (465 nucleotides) under Vreelandella stevensii. RNAcentral describes it as "partial 16S ribosomal RNA". It matches the Rfam family "Bacterial small subunit ribosomal RNA", at positions 338 to 795 of the family's 1533-position model. The record is from RNAcentral. Lineage: Bacteria; Pseudomonadati; Pseudomonadota; Gammaproteobacteria; Oceanospirillales; Halomonadaceae.